Molecule: ribosomal RNA, 435 nt
Filed under: uncultured bacterium
Lineage: Bacteria
Description: partial 16S ribosomal RNA
Rfam family: Bacterial small subunit ribosomal RNA
Source: RNAcentral
GAUGAACGCUGGCGGUAUGCUUAACACAUGCAGGUCGAACGGACUCUUCGGAGUUAGUGGCGGACGGGUGAGUAACGCGUGAGAAUCUGGCUUUGGGUUCGGGACAACCACUGGAAACGGUGGCUAAUACCGGAUGUGCCGAGAGGUAAAAGAGAAAUUGCCCGAAGAUGAGCUCGCGUCUGAUUAGCUAGUUGGUGAGGUAAAGGCUCACCAAGGCAGCGAUCAGUAGCUGGUCUGAGAGGAUGACCAGCCACACUGGGACUGAGACACGGCCCAGACUCCUACGGGAGGCAGCAGUGGGGAAUUUUCCGCAAUGGGCGAAAGCCUGACGGAGCAAUACCGCGUGAGGGAAGAAGGCUCUUGGGUUGUAAACCUCUUUUCUUAGGGAAGAACAAAAUGACGGUACCUAAGGAAUCAGCAUCGGCUAACUCCGUG